GGCCCUAUCGUCUAACGGUUAGGACACCAGGUUCUCAUCCUGGCAAUUCGGGUUCAAAUCCCGAUGGGGCUA
This 72-nucleotide transfer RNA is filed under the name Candidatus Woesebacteria bacterium. RNAcentral's name for it is "tRNA-Glu". It matches the Rfam family "tRNA". Rfam says of the family: Transfer RNA (tRNA) molecules are approximately 80 nucleotides in length. Their secondary structure includes four short double-helical elements and three loops (D, anti-codon, and T loops). Further hydrogen bonds mediate the characteristic L-shaped molecular structure. tRNAs have two regions of fundamental functional importance: the anti-codon, which is responsible for specific mRNA codon recognition, and the 3' end, to which the tRNAs corresponding amino acid is attached (by aminoacyl-tRNA synthetases). tRNAs cope with the degeneracy of the genetic code in two manners: having more than one tRNA (with a specific anti-codon) for a particular amino acid; and 'wobble' base-pairing, i.e. permitting non-standard base-pairing at the 3rd anti-codon position. Lineage: Bacteria; Candidatus Woeseibacteriota. RNAcentral also lists the same sequence under 2 other names. The record is from RNAcentral.